Molecule: ribosomal RNA, 372 nt
Filed under: uncultured eukaryote
Lineage: Eukaryota
Description: partial 18S ribosomal RNA
Rfam family: Eukaryotic small subunit ribosomal RNA
Source: RNAcentral
CAAUAGCGUAUAUUUAAGUUGUUGCAGUUAAAAAGCUCGUAGUUGGAUUUCGGUUGAGAACGGCCGGUCCGCCGUUUGGUGUGCACUGGCUGGUUUCAACUUCCUGUAGAGGACGCGCUCUGGCUUCACGGCUGGACGCGGAGUCUACGUGGUUACUUUGAAAAAAUUAGAGUGUUCAAAGCGGGCUUACGCUUGAAUAUUUCAGCAUGGAAUAACACUAUAGGACUCCUGUCCUAUUUCGUUGGUCUCGGGACGGGAGUAAUGAUUAAGAGGAACAGUUGGGGGCAUUCGUAUUUCAUUGUCAGAGGUGAAAUUCUUGGAUUUAUGAAAGACGAACUUCUGCGAANGNAUUUGGNAAGGAUGUUUNCAUUA